UACGAAGGGGGCUAGCGUUGCUCGGAUUGACUGGGCGUAAAGGGCGCGUAGGCGGUUCGUACAGUCAGACGUGAAAUUCCUGGGCUCAACCUGGGGGCUGCGUUUGAUACGUGCGGACUUGAGUGCGGAAGAGGGUCGUGGAAUUCCCAGUGUAGAGGUGAAAUUCGUAGAUAUUGGGAAGAACACCGGUGGCGAAGGCGGCGACCUGGUCCGAUACUGACGCUGAGGAGCGAAAGCGUGGGGAGGCGAACAGG
RNAcentral lists this ribosomal RNA (254 nucleotides) under uncultured bacterium. Its description in RNAcentral is "partial 16S ribosomal RNA". It matches the Rfam family "Bacterial small subunit ribosomal RNA", at positions 524 to 776 of the family's 1533-position model. The record is from RNAcentral.